UACGGGAGGCAGCAGUGGGGGAUAUUGCGCAAUGGGGGCAACCCUGACGCAGCAACGCCGCGUGAAGGAUGAAGGUUUUCGGAUUGUAAACUUCUUUUGUUAGGGACGAAAAAUGACGGUACCUAACGAAUAAGCUCCAGCUAACUACGUGCCAGCAGCCGCGGUAAU
This 168-nucleotide ribosomal RNA is filed under the name uncultured rumen bacterium. RNAcentral describes it as "partial 16S ribosomal RNA". It matches the Rfam family "Bacterial small subunit ribosomal RNA", at positions 340 to 524 of the family's 1533-position model. The record is from RNAcentral.